Molecule: ribosomal RNA, 255 nt
Filed under: uncultured bacterium
Lineage: Bacteria
Description: partial 16S ribosomal RNA
Rfam family: Bacterial small subunit ribosomal RNA
Source: RNAcentral
CGGACGGGUGAGUAACGCGUGGGUAACCUGCCUCAUACAGGGGGAUAACAGUUAGAAAUGACUGCUAAUACCGCAUAAGCGCACAGGGAUGCAUGUCCUGGUGUGAAAAACUCCGGUGGUAUGAGAUGGACCCGCGUCUGAUUAGCUGGUUGGCGGGGUAACGGCCCACCAAGGCGACGAUCAGUAGCCGACCUGAGAGGGUGACCGGCCACAUUGGGACUGAGACACGGCCCAAACUCCUACGGGAGGCAGCAG